RNAcentral lists this ribosomal RNA (1450 nucleotides) under uncultured Propionibacterium sp. RNAcentral's name for it is "bacterial SSU rRNA". It matches the Rfam family "Bacterial small subunit ribosomal RNA". Lineage: Bacteria; Bacillati; Actinomycetota; Actinomycetes; Propionibacteriales; Propionibacteriaceae. The record is from RNAcentral.
UGCUUAACACAUGCAAGUCGAACGGAAAGGCCCUGCUUUUGUGGGGUGCUCGAGUGGCGAACGGGUGAGUAACACGUGAGUAACCUGCCCUUGACUUUGGGAUAACUUCAGGAAACUGGGGCUAAUACCGGAUAGGAGCUCCUGCUGCAUGGUGGGGGUUGGAAAGUUUCGGCGGUUGGGGAUGGACUCGCGGCUUAUCAGCUUGUUGGUGGGGUAGUGGCUUACCAAGGCUUUGACGGGUAGCCGGCCUGAGAGGGUGACCGGCCACAUUGGGACUGAGAUACGGCCCAGACUCCUACGGGAGGCAGCAGUGGGGAAUAUUGCACAAUGGGCGGAAGCCUGAUGCAGCAACGCCGCGUGCGGGAUGACGGCCUUCGGGUUGUAAACCGCUUUCGCCUGUGACGAAGCGUGAGUGACGGUAAUGGGUAAAGAAGCACCGGCUAGCUACGUGCCAGCAGCCGCGGUGAUACGUAGGGUGCGAGCGUUGUCCGGAUUUAUUGGGCGUAAAGGGCUCGUAGGUGGUUGAUCGCGUCGGAAGUGUAAUCUUGGGGCUUAACCCUGAGCGUGCUUUCGAUACGGGUUGACUUGAGGAAGGUAGGGGAGAAUGGAAUUCCUGGUGGAGCGGUGGAAUGCGCANAUAUCAGGAGNAACACCAGUGGCGAAGGCGGUUCUCUGGGCCUUUCCUGACGCUGAGGAGCGAAAGCGUGGGGAGCGAACAGGCUUAGAUACCCUGGUAGUCCACGCUGUAAACGGUGGGUACUAGGUGUGGGGUCCAUUCCACGGGUUCCGUGCCGUAGCUAACGCUUUAAGUACCCCGCCUGGGGAGUACGGCCGCAAGGCUAAAACUCAAAGGAAUUGACGGGGCCCCGCACAAGCGGCGGAGCAUGCGGAUUAAUUCGAUGCAACGCGUAGAACCUUACCUGGGUUUGACAUGGAUCGGGAGCGCUCAGAGAUGGGUGUGCCUCUUUUGGGGUCGGUUCACAGGUGGUGCAUGGCUGUCGUCAGCUCGUGUCGUGAGAUGUUGGGUUAAGUCCCGCAACGAGCGCAACCCUUGUUCACUGUUGCCAGCACGUUAUGGUGGGGACUCAGUGGAGACCGCCGGGGUCAACUCGGAGGAAGGUGGGGAUGACGUCAAGUCAUCAUGCCCCUUAUGUCCAGGGCUUCACGCAUGCUACAAUGGCUGGUACAGAGAGUGGCGAGCCUGUGAGGGUGAGCGAAUCUCGGAAAGCCGGUCUCAGUUCGGAUUGGGGUCUGCAACUCGACCUCAUGAAGUCGGAGUCGCUAGUAAUCGCAGAUCAGCAACGCUGCGGUGAAUACGUUCCCGGGGCUCGUACACACCGCCCGUCAAGUCAUGAAAGUUGGUAACACCCGAAGCCGGUGGCCUAACCGUUGUGGGGGAGCCGUCGAAGGUGGGACUGGUGAUUAGGACUAAGUCGUAACAAGGUAACCA